Molecule: small nucleolar RNA, 85 nt
Organism: Candida albicans SC5314
Lineage: Eukaryota; Fungi; Ascomycota; Pichiomycetes; Serinales; Debaryomycetaceae
Source: RefSeq, a predicted model, not a curated record
UUAAUGAUGACUCCGAGUGCAUUUGGCUCGAGACGUAAUGUCGAUGUGGAAAAACCCAAGCUACCUUUAUCUUUUUGUCUGACAA